This 242-nucleotide ribosomal RNA is filed under the name Haemaphysalis flava. RNAcentral describes it as "partial large subunit ribosomal RNA". The record is from RNAcentral. Lineage: Eukaryota; Metazoa; Arthropoda; Arachnida; Ixodida; Ixodidae.
GUAUUUUGACUAUACAAAGGUAUUGUAAUAAGACUUUAAUUGAGUGCUAAAAGAAUGGAGUUUCAAAAAAAGUCUAUCUUGAAUUCAAAAAUUGAAUUUAUUUUUAUUUGUGAAGAAACAAUAAUUAAAAUUAAGGACAAGAAGACCCUAAGAAUUUUUAAUUUUGUAUAUAUAUAUAUUUAUAUAUACAAAAUUUUAAUUGGGGCGAUUAAAAAAUAUAGUUAACUUUUAAUUUAAAAAAU